AUUGAACGCUGGCGGAAUGCUUUACACAUGCAAGUCGAACGGCAGCACGGACUUCGGUCUGGUGGCGAGUGGCGAACGGGUGAGUAAUGUAUCGGAACGUGCCCAGUCGAGGGGGAUAACGUAGUGAAAAUUACGCUAAUACCGCAUACGAUCUAUGGAUGAAAGCGGGGGAUCGCAAGACCUCGCGCGAUUGGAGCGGCCGAUAUAAGAGUAGGUAGUUGGUGGGGUAAAGGCCCACCAAGCCAACGAUCUGUAGCUGGUCUGAGAGGACGACCGGCCACACUGGAACUGAGACACGGUCCAGACUCCUACGGGAGGCAGCAGUGGGGAAUUUUGGACAAUGGGCGAAAGCCUGAUCCAGCCAUUCCGCGUGCAGGAUGAAGGCCCUCGGGUUGUAAACUGCUUUUGUACAGAACGAAAAGGUUUCUACUAAUACUAGGAGCUCAUGACGGUACUGUAAGAAUAAGCACCGGCUAACUACGUGCCAGCCGCCGCCGUAA
Molecule: ribosomal RNA, 500 nt
Filed under: uncultured bacterium
Lineage: Bacteria
Description: partial 16S ribosomal RNA
Rfam family: Bacterial small subunit ribosomal RNA
Source: RNAcentral